GACCUGCGGAAGGAUCAUUACAGAGUUCAUGCCCGAAAGGGUAGACCUCCCACCCUUGUGUAUUAUUACUUUGUUGCUUUGGCGAGCUGCCUUCGGGCCUUGUAUGCUCGCCAGAGAAUACCAAAACUCUUUUUAUUAAUGUCGUCUGAGUACUAUAUAAUAGUUAAAACUUUCAACAACGGAUCUCUUGGUUCUGGCAUCGAUGAAGAACGCAGCGAAAUGCGAUAAGUAAUGUGAAUUGCAGAAUUCAGUGAAUCAUCGAAUCUUUGAACGCACAUUGCGCCCCUUGGUAUUCCGGGGGGCAUGCCUGUUCGAGCGUCAUUUCAACCCUCAAGCUUAGCUUGGUAUUGAGUCUAUGUCAGUAAUGGCAGGCUCUAAAAUCAGUGGCGGCGCCGCUGGGUCCUGAACGUAGUAAUAUCUCUCGUUACAGGUUCUCGGUGUGCUUCUGCCAAAACCCAAAUUUUUCUAUGGUUGACCUCGGAUCAGGUAGGGAUACCCGCUGAACUUAAGCAUAUCAAUAAGCGGAGGA
This 529-nucleotide ribosomal RNA is filed under the name Botrytis cinerea. RNAcentral's name for it is "eukaryotic LSU rRNA". The stretch from base 168 to 321 matches the Rfam family "5.8S ribosomal RNA". The record is from RNAcentral. Lineage: Eukaryota; Fungi; Ascomycota; Leotiomycetes; Helotiales; Sclerotiniaceae.